AGGGCGGCUUCAAAAUCCAGUGGGUGGAUGAUACCCACGCCCUGGGAAUCUUCUCCAGCCUCUCCGCAGCGUCGCAGGCCCUGGGCCGCCGUUACCCCUGCCUGAGGAUCCGGCCCCUGAUCCACGCCUCCAAGCAGGCCAAGCUCAAGGCGCUCCAGAGACCAAAAUUGCUGCAGCUGGGGAAGGAGAGGCCGCAGACGGACACGGCGGUGGCCAGGAGACUCGUGUCCCACGCCCUGGGCUGGAGGCACAGGCAGCACGAGCCCACAGGGACUGAAGUUUUCCAGCCAGAAUCCUUGGAUCAGGAGGAAUAAUUCCCAAAAAAACCCCAAAAAAACCCCCCAAAAAAAGGCUGUAAAGAUGAGCAUGGCUGUGCUAUUAAAUGCAUGCAGAGCAGGCAGCGCCACGGGGGUGUUCCUUUAUGGAUCAGCUUGGGAAAGUUGGGAAUGGGAAUUCUUGUUGGGUUGUUUUUGUUUUUGGAGCCCUGGGAAGCGCUGGAAUUCUUUGUUCGCCUGCAGGAACGAGGUGGUUUCUUUAUUCCUUAUUCCUGCUCAGUUUUCCAACAAAAAGUAGGCAUUAAGAGUAAGAAAAUCUGAAUUAUUGGGGGGCCAAAAUUCAACUCUAAACAAGGGCGGGAGUUCAAAAAUCUGUUCCACGUUUGUUGUAAUGUUGCUGUUCAGGUAUCCCAGAAAACUGACAGGCAGUGAAUUCAAGUUUUAGGGAAUUCUUUCCUUAUUUAUAGAGUUUCAAGAGCCUGAACUUCCCUGUUGGUGAGGAAAGUUGGGAUCUGCUCAUUAGGGAAAAAAAACCUCCAGAAUUUGCCUGUGUUGAUGUGCCCAGAGCUGGGUUUAAAAUGAGCUUUUCACCCCCAUGCCAAGCUCUGCUGGUGCUCCAGUCUGGAAUUCUGAGGGAGAACUGGAAUUUUCCAAUUGCCAGGAGGUUAAAACCCUUUGCCAGCUGGAGAAAUGACAAAUGCUCAAAAUAUUUCUGCAUUUUUAAGCCUCACAAACAUCCCUGUGAGCUGGGGUUUGGGGGAAGUUUGCAGCCAGUUGGAAUCCCUGUGGAAUCAGCUGGAAUUCCAGUGAUUUUUUUCUUUUUCCAGGGAAAAGGUUUUUAUUGGAGCUCUGUAGCAAAGUGUGUCCUCAAACAAACAGAGGAGAACUGGGAAUUCCCACAGAGGCAGAAAUUCCCUCUGCGAGGUGCACCAGGAUAAUUCAUCCUUGGAAAAAAAAAGAUGGAAUAUCCAGGCAGGAGGGAUGGGCACAGCAGCUGGUGGCUGGAGGAUCCCUGUGGGAUGGGAAUUCCCAACCCAGAGGCCUCAUCCUUGGGAAUCUGCAGAGUUCUGGGUGCUGAGGGGUUGCUUCAGGGAGCUUUGAUUCCCUGUGAGAUUCCCUGUGAAAUUCCACGUGAAAUUCCCUGUGAAAUUUCCACAUUCUGCCGUUUGCUCCCCUCCGGAGCGUUGGAUCCAAGUGUUUCACUGCAGUAUUAAAUUCAGCUUUACACUGUUCUGCUCACAAAAAGCUGCUCCUUUUUUCCUUUUUUUUUAAAAAAAAACCCCAAAAAUUUCCUUUUAUUUCCUUGCUAAACGGAGUCAGUGCUGAGGAGGAGUGCAGGAAGCAGCAGCACAAACGGGAGUGGAAAAGAGCUGAAAAUUCCCAAAUAAUGCCUUGGAAAUGAAGGAUGAAGGCACUUCGGGGUGGUUGGCACCCAACCUGAGGAGAGGAGUGCUGCAAAAUGUGGGAGGAAUCUUUGGAAUGGUGGAGAGCUGGAGCUGAGGAGAGCUGGAAUUGCAGGAGGCACCGAGGGGUGGCCUGAGCACCUAAACUGGGGAGGGAGAGGCUUCUUCAGGAAUGAUUCACCCGGAAUUCAGAGUUUUGGUGGAGGCUGGAUUUCCUGGGGUGCAGUGGUUCGGGAAGGGCCGGAGCAGGAGUCCUGGCUUCCUUAAAUUAGUGGGAAUUCUACCGGGCAGACACGUUGUUAUUUGUGAGUCCCCUGAAGUGGUCGAACUUCUGCUCCGUCUCCUCGCUG
Lonchura striata (white-rumped munia) is the source of this 2028-nucleotide long non-coding RNA. The record is from Ensembl. Lineage: Eukaryota; Metazoa; Chordata; Aves; Passeriformes; Estrildidae.